GGAGUAUUGGACAAUGGGGGCAACCCUGAUCCAGCAAUGCCGCGUGGGUGAUGAAGGCCUUCGGGUUGUAAAGCCCUUUCGGCGGGGACGAUGAUGACGGUACCCGCAGAAGAAGCCCCGGCUCACUUCGGGCCAGCAGCCGCGGUAAUACGACGGGGGCUAGCGUUGUUCGGAAUGACUGGGCGUAAAGGGCGCGUAGGCGGCGGCUUUAGUCAGGCGUGAAAGCCCUGGGCUUAACCUGGGAACUGCGUUUGAUACUGGGUCGCUUGAGUGUGGGAGAGGAUGGUGGAAUUCCCAGUGUAGAGGUGAAAUUCGUAGAUAUUGGGAAGAACACCGGUGGCGAAGGCGGCCAUCUGGACCACUACUGACGCUGAGGCGCGAAAGCGUGGGGAGCAAAC
Molecule: ribosomal RNA, 398 nt
Filed under: uncultured bacterium
Lineage: Bacteria
Description: bacterial SSU rRNA
Rfam family: Bacterial small subunit ribosomal RNA
Source: RNAcentral